This 501-nucleotide ribosomal RNA is filed under the name uncultured bacterium. Its description in RNAcentral is "partial 16S ribosomal RNA". It matches the Rfam family "Bacterial small subunit ribosomal RNA", at positions 29 to 523 of the family's 1533-position model. The record is from RNAcentral.
AUUGAACGCUGGCGGCAUGCCUUACACAUGCAAGUCGAACGGCAGCACGGGUGCUUGCACCUGGUGGCGAGUGGCGAACGGGUGAGUAAUACAUCGGAACGUACCUUAUCGUGGGGGAUAACGCAGCGAAAGCUGUGCUAAUACCGCAUACGCCCUGAGGGGGAAAGCGGGGGAUCGAAAGACCUCGCGCGAUUAGAGCGGCCGACGCCUGAUUAGCUUGUUGGUGGGGUAAAAGCCCACCAUGGCGACGAUCAGUAGCUGGUCUGAGAGGACGAACAGCCACACUGGGACUGAGACACGGCCAAGACUCCUACGGGAGGCAGCAGUGGGGAAUUGUGGACAAUGGGGGCAACCCUGAUCCAGCAAUGCCGCGUGAGUGAAGAAGGCCUUCGGGUUGUAAAGCUCUUUUGUCAGGGAAGAAACACCGGCUCUAACACAGUCCGGGAAUGACGGUACCUGAAGAAUAAGCACCGGCUAACUACGUGCCAGCAGCCGCGGUAA